GAGCAUCCGCAGCGCUGGGUGCGAAGGCCGGAUCGAACCCGGCCUAUCGCACCCAGCGCCGUUGCUGCACCCGGGAGCGAAGGGAGGGGGGCGAUGGGUCGCACUCGGCUGCUGUGGGAGCGAAGGAAGGGGCGUGUUUACACGCGCCCCUUUUCAAACCAAAAAAAAAAACAAAAAAAAAAGUAAUGGGUGCAAUAGAGGGUGCAAGCGUUGCUGGAGUGGGUGCAGCGUUGGAGGUG
Molecule: long non-coding RNA, 239 nt
Filed under: Salvia miltiorrhiza (redroot sage)
Lineage: Eukaryota; Viridiplantae; Streptophyta; Magnoliopsida; Lamiales; Lamiaceae
Description: long non-coding RNA (SMIL_LNC014139)
Source: RNAcentral